UCGAGAAUUUUUCUCAAUGGGGGAAACCCUGAAGGAGCGACGCCGCGUGGGGGAUGAAUGGCUUCGGCCCGUAAACCCCUGUCAUUUGCGAUCAAACCUUACGACCUAACACGUCGUGAGCUGAUAGUAGCGGAAGAGGAAGGGACGGCUAACUCUGUGCCAGCAGCCGCGGUAAUACAGAGGUCCCAAGCGUUGUUCGGAUUCACUGGGCGUAAAGGGUGCGUAGGCGGUCGGGUAAGUCUGACGUGAAAUCUUCAAGCUCAACUUGGAAACUGCGUCGGAUACUAUUCGGCUAGAGGAAUGGAGGGGAGACUGGAAUACUUGGUGUAGCAGUGAAAUGCGUAGAUAUCAAGUGGAACACCAGUGGCGAAGGCGAGUCUCUGGACAUUUCCUGACGCUGAGGCACGAAAGCCAGGGGAGCAAACGGGAUUAGAUACCCCCGUAGUCC
This 448-nucleotide ribosomal RNA is filed under the name uncultured bacterium. RNAcentral describes it as "bacterial SSU rRNA". It matches the Rfam family "Bacterial small subunit ribosomal RNA", at positions 355 to 796 of the family's 1533-position model. The record is from RNAcentral.